RNAcentral lists this ribosomal RNA (253 nucleotides) under uncultured bacterium. RNAcentral describes it as "partial 16S ribosomal RNA". It matches the Rfam family "Bacterial small subunit ribosomal RNA", at positions 524 to 776 of the family's 1533-position model. The record is from RNAcentral.
UACAGAGGGUGCGAGCGUUAAUCGGAAUUACUGGGCGUAAAGCGCACGUAGGUGGCGACGUAAGUCGGGUGUGAAAGCCCCGGGCUCAACCUGGGAAUUGCAUUCGAGACUGCAUUGCUGGAGUACGGAAGAGGAAGGCGGAAUUCCCGGUGUAGCGGUGAAAUGCGUAGAGAUCGGGAGGAACACCGGCGGCGAAGGCGGCUGCCUGGACCAGUGCUGACGCUGAGGCGCGAAAGCUAGGGGAGCAAACAGG